Molecule: small RNA, 551 nt
Filed under: Pongo abelii (Sumatran orangutan)
Lineage: Eukaryota; Metazoa; Chordata; Mammalia; Primates; Hominidae
Description: processed transcript
Source: RNAcentral
GAUAAUUACGGAGAAGUCAUACUCUCUCACACCCUCGGCUUUCUUGUUGUGUCCUUCAGCAAAACAGUGGAUUUAAAUCUCCUUGCACAAGCUUGAGAGCAACACAAUCUAUCAGGAAAGAAGGAAAGAAAAAAACCGAACCUGACAAAAAAGAAGAAAAAAAAUCAUGAAAACCAUCCAGCCAAAAAUGCACAAUUCUAUGUCUUGGGCAAUCUUCACGGGGCUGGCUGCUCUGUGUCUCUUCCAAGGUAAGUGACAUUUCAUUCUGCUCAUCCCCAAGGCAAAGUUGGAUGUUUUUAAAGUGGAAAAAAAAAUGAACGGAAAAAGAAACGGGGAAGGUGGGAAGAGGUGGAAAUGGAAGGGCACAGGUAGGUGCAUACUCAAUUCUUCGUCUUUUGCACAGACUGGUGGGGGGGCCUUCCCCCCAUAUUCGGUGGAGAAUCCUUUCCUCAGGACGGAAGGUCCAGGUGGUGACUGUGGCUUUUGAGAUGAUGAUGGCUUUGCUCUUUGAAAGGGGUUUGUCCUGUAACACAAUGGCCAGCACUUUUGCU